GCUGGUAAAUUGCAGCUUCCAACGCUUGGCACAGGGUAGGAAUGUCCCGCUGGGUGCAAUGAUUUGGCUGGGGCCACCAGGGCAGAGGGUCAGAUGCCAGCAAGCCACUGCCUCUGCUGCUGCAGAACCACUUUCAUUCUGUAACAGGGACACGACUGUCACAUCCUCCAGCUGUUGCUGAAUACAACUCCCAGCAUCCUCUUUGGACAGUGGAAGAAUUAGGUGAUAGUGAUGCUGCAGUCGGCGCCUCAGGUGUCAACAAUGCAACAGGAAACAAAGCAAUGGCAGAAGGGAGAGGCCCCUGCUCAGAAGAGCUUGCACUCUACCAGAGGCACAUCAAGGCUCCCCACGCAGGAGAAGAGACUGCUUUAUUUUCCUGCACUCUGUGAGGUUAAUCUGAAUCCAUUUAUCUCAUUCUGGCGCUGGAGCCUGACACUGAGUGUCUUUAAAGUGUAACAAAUUGAUGCAGUAAUAGUAUUGGUUCAGGACCCUGCGCGGCUGAGGGAGGGGGCAGCACUGCCUGGCAGAUUUAUUCCUCCAGCCCGGCAAUGGCUGAUGAAUAGUUUGGAGGAGGAACAGCAGGAGGGAGAAAUGAUUUGUCAAAACACAUUAGGAACAUUGAGUGUAUGAGCUGUGUGCAUGGAGAGAGCGGGUCUGGACUGACACCUCCUCUGUCGGUCAACCCCAAGCAUAGUGCGUGUGUGCAUGUAUUAAUAUGUGCGUGUAUAUAUUUAUAUAUAUUUAUGUUUGUGUAUAUUUAUGGUGAAUAUGUGUGUGUGUAUACAUGUAUAUAUAGUUGCCAAAUGAGCAGAUCUUUCCCCAAUAUGCCCUCCUUAAGGUGGGUGGUAUCAGGCUGAUCCUAUCAUUUGGCCCUUGACAAAUACCUACAGAUCUUGCCCAAUGGAAUUUUUAAAACUCCCCGAUUAAUUUAUUGUCGAUUUUCAGCACAUUGGAGGGCCCCGUAUCUGGACCAAUAAGCUACUUUUAGUGGUUUUAUUGGCCGGUGUAUGGCCACAUUUAGGCACACUUUAUAAUAAUUAUUGGCUCAAGCACAUGGGUGGCCAAAUUGGGCAGAGAUUGGCUCCACUACCAUACCAAAUGAACAAAUGUAUAGGCCCUUCCUGGUGGUACAGGCACAAUAGGGAAGAACCGUGCCUUCGGUGGAACACGGAAAAAAACACCACACGGGAGCACACCUUUAUUUUGACAUUUUUACUUGAACAUUCUGCCUCUGGUAUAACAGCACAAGCAUGUACCAAUAGAUGCCAAGAUGUAGAUAAACAAAUGAACAUCCUUCAUACAUCUCAUUGGCAGGUAUGGGAUAAUCAAUAUAUCUAUAAUCAAUCAUUUAUCUUCUACAUAAAGCUGAUUUAUGGGACCCUGGAGUGAUUUUGUUGCUCCAUAGUAUAAUCUUGUAUUCGCUCUAACCCUGCCAGCACCAUCUCCUGCGCAUCCUAGGGCGAUAAUUCCAUUACGCUGGCAGGGUUAAAGGGGGGGGGGGGGGGCUUAUUGCAAUGUCUGGGACCCUGUUUCAUGAGCCCUGCCCUGAUAUUCUGAUCUUAUUCCCCAGCAGCGACUAUAAAAAGGGCUUGUGACCUCCACUAGACACCUUGGCCGGAUUAUCUGCUUUACUAUAAUUAACCAGUAUCAGUGGCAAAGGAAAAGCCUCUCAGUGUUUCCUGAUUUACAUAUCACUCACUGGCCGCCUUUCUGUGUUGGACGGGGAUGGUUCGUAUGGCAGUGAUAGAUUCCAGAUCAGGGCAGUGUGGCUACCCACCCAAAAUUCCUUCUAGCCGACUAGCAUGGGCACCUGUGUGUAUACUGGCUCAGUAUCCCAACAUGCCACUGGUUAUGAAAUAUUUAUGGUGCUCCUGCCUCCAUCAAUGCAAGUGGCUAUAAAGAAAGACUGGGCCAGUGUUCAGUGCAGUAUCCAGGUAGAAGCAGUGCAAAUGACCCUUUUAUUAACGAGUGCAAAGGUUUUCACCUAUCAUCCUCUGGCAGCUCAGAUAUAUUGAGUAGUCAUAACCCACCAUGAAUAAAAUUGGGAUCCUCUCUUGGUUUAUUACAAAUAGGACAGUAAGAGUUCCUACAUGGGAGGCUUUCAUGGCACAAAACAAAUUGCUGUAAAGGGAUAUAUCAUAUUUAGCAACAGGGUUUAACUUCUUUAGUAAAUGCCAGAGAUUAUGUACAGAGUGGCCUUAUCUGCAUUUAUAGAUGUUUGGGAUCUGCCAUAACAUAUCUCAGCCAUAUCACUAGCACUACAUGUGGCCCUAUCUAGUGUCGAGGGCAGGCACCUGGCCAAUAUUUCACCAGCCUAGCCACCAGUAUAUAACCAGCUAGGACAGGGCCAGUAAUAUAAAACAUCCACCAGGUACAGUUCCUCAACCCUCACCCAAUCUGCUUAUUCCCCAUGGCCAUGAUGUCACAGUGGCUCUGGUGACAUCAUGUCACAGCUAUCCCCCAGCAGGCUGGUAUGGUGGAUACCCUACAUACACUUAGAUGGUCCCAAUGUCAUACAGACUUGCAGACUCCCAAAGGUCGGGGCUUAAUAGAGAGCAGGAGGAUUUUAGGGCAGAUCAGGAUCAAGUCAGAAUGUAACUGGGUGGAACAAGAGGUACAUUGGGUCUAUAAUGCCCAAAUUAAGAGAUGUAUGCAACCAGGACUGAAGGUAUUAAAGAUAGGGUCUUAUAUUAAUGUAGGGAAGCUGUGCCCCAAUGUAUAGAGGCAACAAAUUCCAUGAAUUAGGGAUAUCCAACCUUUAGCUGUUACACAAUAUAAUUUGUUCAUUGGCUCUGUAUCUGUGCUCUUCCUCCGAAAAGGGACCCUCUGAUGCUGGGGAUUUAGGACAAGAUGCACUUUUUGUCCUUCACUAAAACUACCCCUGAUACCAAUAGUUUAGAUUGUUAUUAUCAUGGCCAGCAAUCUUCCCAGGGGUUCUGAGACUUCUUUCUAUGGAAAAAAGCAAUAAACAGGGUAUAUAUCCCCUUUAACUCCUCCCCCCCCUCGCUUCCAGCAGGUAAAAAUGGAAAAGAGAUUCUUCCCAUUAAUCCUGUCUCCUCAUAACAGCAGCCUUAGGUACCUGCUCCAUCUGAAUAAAGGCGCGGGCACAGGGAACAUAUGUGCAGUGGAUUUAUCCUAAUCUACACCGCGCUAAUCGUGUUACAGAAGAAAACACAUAAUAAAUGGGCAAGCCAGAGCUUUCUGGACAGCAUGUUUAAUUGCACAUUA
Molecule: long non-coding RNA, 3228 nt
Organism: Xenopus tropicalis (tropical clawed frog)
Lineage: Eukaryota; Metazoa; Chordata; Amphibia; Anura; Pipidae
Exons: 2
Source: RefSeq, a predicted model, not a curated record